This 292-nucleotide long non-coding RNA is filed under the name Brassica napus (rape). Its description in RNAcentral is "long non-coding RNA (BNAP_LNC013600)". Lineage: Eukaryota; Viridiplantae; Streptophyta; Magnoliopsida; Brassicales; Brassicaceae. The record is from RNAcentral.
GAGUUUAAGGUUUACGGUUUUGGUUUAGGGUAUAGGACUUGAGUUUAGGGUAUAGAGUUUAGGUUUAUAGUCUAGUUUUUGGGUUUAAGGUAUAUAAUUUGGGUUUAGGGUCUAGGAUUAGGGUUUAGGGUAUAGGGUUUGGAUUUAGGGGUUUGGAUAUGGGUUUAGAAUUUAGGGUGUAGAGUUUAGAAUUUAAGAUUUAGUGUUUAGGGUUUAACUGGAAGCGUUUGCGUUGUUAAAAUUAGCGUUUUUAUUUUUUGUAGCUAUUUUUAUUUAAUUUAAUAUUUUUAAU